RNAcentral lists this small nucleolar RNA (106 nucleotides) under Caenorhabditis brenneri. RNAcentral describes it as "sRNA CBN34118". Lineage: Eukaryota; Metazoa; Nematoda; Chromadorea; Rhabditida; Rhabditidae. The record is from RNAcentral.
UGCCAUGGUUUCAUAGUCGAAAGUUGAGUUCACUCCAUCUCUCUUAUCCUUUUGGAUCUUCAAAAUAUAGGCAUCCACAAAAUCGUUUCCCCCAUCCUCGAUAACA